This 401-nucleotide ribosomal RNA is filed under the name uncultured archaeon. RNAcentral describes it as "bacterial SSU rRNA". It matches the Rfam family "Archaeal small subunit ribosomal RNA", at positions 596 to 997 of the family's 1478-position model. The record is from RNAcentral.
GGACCGGGAGAGGCGAGAGGACGUUCUGGGUAGGGGUAAAAGUACCUGUAAUCCUAGAAGGACCACCGGUGGCGAAGGCGUCUCGCUAGAACGGAUCCGACGGUGAGGGACGAAGCCCUGGGUCGCAACGGGAUUAGAUACCCCGGUAGUCCAGGUGUAAACGCUGCAGACUUGGUGUUGGGGGCCCUACGGGGCGUUCAGUGCCGGAGAGAAGUUGUUAAGUCUGCUACUUGGGGAGUACGUCCGCAAGGAUGAAACUUAAAGGAAUUGGCGGGGGAGCACCGACCAACGGGAGGAGCGUGCGGUUUAAUUGGAUUCAACACCGGAAACUCACCAGCGGCGACUGUUACAUGAAAGUCAGGCCGAUGACCUUACUAGAUUUUCAGAGAAGAGGUGCAUGG